Molecule: long non-coding RNA, 4864 nt
Organism: Clupea harengus (Atlantic herring)
Lineage: Eukaryota; Metazoa; Chordata; Actinopteri; Clupeiformes; Clupeidae
Source: Ensembl
AGCAAUGAAGUAGAUACAACUUCCAGCCUUCUCCCAUCAUCAUUAUGAGCAGAAAUGGGCGAAGUAAUGUGAUACGGUAAUACUGACAAGUUAAAUUUACAUGGCUUUCAUCAAGCAAAUGAUGCCCAUGCACAACCCAAACACUGUUGCACUGCCACUACGAGACCAGUGGGGUGCAGAGGGGUGUAACACAUACCAUGCCAUGUUUUAAGUUGCACACAGAGAUGAAAUUAGGCCUAUAACGGGCGCUAACAUGUAACAUCUGCCCCUUAUUAUUGACGUCAAUCACACAAUAUUUAAGGUCAGAUGGAAACACAUUUGGUUCAACUGAAACAUUAAAGUCACAUUAUGCAGGUAUUUUGCUGUCUAUAGUUUUGUAUAGGUAAGUCAUUUUUCCUAACAUCCUCUUAAUCAUUUUUAUCUUUGUAUUAAUGUGAUUGUAUACAUAUAGUACAUGCAUAUACAGACACAUACACCCCUUUAUAAUACAUUCAGACUAACUGCAAAGUAAUCGUCAUAUUUUAAACCAUACCUUCAGAGGCGGAGGCGGUGGAUUGGACUUCACCAUCAUUCUCAUUAGGCAGACUUCUUUUCUGGCCAAGGCUUAAAUUCUGCAUGAUGAUAUCUAUAGAGCAAGUGUACAUUUACCUCAACAAUCUAGACCAGCAAUAGCAUAUCCCCAAACAUCACCAAGAAAACAUUGAAACAUUCAGGUAAACACCUGGUUUAACAGUGAAAUGACCUACUUAGUGCUAUUUGAUCACCUGACAGCCAUGGCACAUUCAUGGAGUAUCAGAGUUUAAAGAUUCAUCUCUUUAGAACUCAUCAUUCUACAAUUGUGAACAUUCUAUGUCUACAAGCCCUGAGGUAUUCAUAUUAUGCCUAUUAUAGUUAUUAUUGUUAAUUUUACUGUCUGAUAUACAGUAUGCCUACUUAUCUGGUAGCACCGCCCUCUUGUCCUGAUGUGAAGGUGCAGUGUGUGGCACAUCAAGCCACAUAAACAUGUAUGAAGGGUAACCAUGAACACAAUCUCUUUCUCUGUCGUGGGUCAAUUUGACCAGUUUUUGAGAGUUUGCCUUUGUCUACGCAGUUUCUUUGUUCUAUUUUUUACAACGAUCCAAUAUAGCAAUGACGUAGAUGCAACUUUCAUCCUUCAGAUGAAAGAAGAAAAAAAAUGGGCGUAGUAAUGUGAUACGGUAAUACUGACAAGAUAACUUCACAUGGCUUUCAUCAAGCAAAUUAUGCCCAUGCACCACCCAAACACUGUUGCACUGCCACUGCAUAGCCAGUGUGGGUGCAGAGGGGCGUAACACAUACCAUGCCAUGUUUUUAGCUGCACACUGCGAUUAAAUUACGCCUAUAACAGGUCUAACAUUCAACAUCUGCCCCUUAUUAUGGACGUCAAUCACACAAUAUUUUAGAUCAGAUGGAAACACAUUUGGUUCAACUGAAACAUUGAAGUUACAUUAUGCAGGUAUUUUGCAGUCUAUAGUUUUUUAUAGGUCAUUCAUUUUUCCUAACAUCCUCUUAAUCAUUUUUAUCUUUGUACAAUCGCAUUAAUACAUGCAUGUACUGUAUGUGUAUGGACACAUACACCCCUUUAAUAAUAACCUCAGACUAAUUACAGAGUAAUUGUCAUAUUUUAAACCAUACCUUGAGAGGUAGAGGCAGUGGAGGGUUCCUUGUCAUCAGAAUGUCUCUCGUCACCAUCUGGCCAGGUCAGAUGUUGCCAUUAGAUAUUGAACAUUUUAGUUUACAUAAGCAUGACAGCAUGUACUAUUAAUUGCAAUUCUACAAACUAGCAAAGACACAGAUGCAACUUCCAUCCUUCUCCGAUGAUCAUUCUUAGCAGAAAUGGGUGAAAUAAUGUGAUACGGCAAUACUGACUGUAUCCUGAUAAGAUAACUUUACAUGGCUUUCAUGAAGCAAAUUAUGACCAUGCACCACCCAAACACUGUGGCACUGCCACUGCAAGGCCAGUGGGGGUGCAGAGGGGCGUAACAUAUACCUUACCAUGCCAUAUUUUGCACAUUACAAUGAAAGUACGCCUAUAACAGGCACUAAAAUCUGUCCGUUAUUAUAAAGGUGGUGUGUGUGGCACAUCAAGCCACAUAAAGGUGUAUGAGGGGCAACCAUAUUUAGAUAUUCCAACUUUGAGGGCUCCUAUUUGUUCCAUAUUAGUUCCGGUUUCUUCAUAUAAAAUGUAGUCAGUACAUGUUACUCACCUUUUUCCCCAGACGGUGUUAUUUUUUUCUUCAGAAACACCUUUAGAUAUUAAAAGACCUCAUGUUAUAUCAUAGGCAGUUUUUUGUUAUAGGCGAUAGCGUCAUGACACUGAUAGAGCCUAUAGAUGUCAAGGGUUAGGCAACAGUAAAAAAAAAAAUUGUAAUUCUAAAAACUCAUUAUGAUCAUGCCAUACCGUUUUGGAAAUCUGGAGCAUAACUGUUUUACAGUAUCACAAAAAGAAAUACUGUGUGAAAAAAAGAAUGUCUGUCAAUUUGCCACUAAAGUCUCCAGAAACUUCCAAAGUGACUGCUAAAAAGAAAAGGAGGAGCCAUUCACAGCUCACUGGCAAUAAACGGUAGGCUCUUACAGUGCCUAAAAUGCCUGAAAUUUUUAUAUUUUUUUUUACACAAUGUGUUGUUACUUUUGAACAAUUAAACAGCCAAUAUCCAUUAAACAGGCAACAUACAGUAGGCUGUAAGAGUUUAGGUUACAUGGUAUUUCAAUCUAUGACUGUGGUGUUGUUAGCAUCUUCCUCUGCCAGUUCAGCUACAGAAACAUUUACAUGUAAAAAACAUACUGGUGUUACUCACUGCUUUGUGGAUGACAGGAAUAUGUCUUUUUGUGUCUGUACCUGCAUUAGCUUGGGAAAUAGCUCAUCUUCUUGACAAGCGCAAAAAAAACAGGUUGGCCUCCAGAGGUCCAGUUCGUCUUUGUGCUUCUGACAGAUACUCUGUCCUACCAUUUCAGCGAAUUUGAGUAGCCAGUGUCUGUUGAAAUGAAACGUUUUCAGAUGGUUCUACUUUGUCACUUUAGAGAGCAAACAUAUCCGCCCCAAGAAAUGUAUAGUGUUAGCUGUCAAUCACUUCAGAGGAAACAUCGAGAUCUUUUUUAACCUGGACCCUAUUUUCUCAUCUGUUGGGUCUAAAUUUGUGCAACGAUUGACAUCACUAUAACUGGCAACCCCAAAACGGAUAAUGUAAUCCUAUGGGGCAUGCAUCUGCGUCAAAGUAAAUCAGAAUCAUGUUUAUUGGCCAAGUACAUUUUGACAUACAAGAAAUUUGACUCCGGGUUUAGUGGCUCUCAAUGUACUUACACUGAAAUUAUAGAGUUUAACACAACAGUUUAGGAUAAAAUAAAUAAAUAUAAUAUAAAAUAUAAUAAUAAAAUAUAAUAAUUUGUAGUCAACUGUUCAUUGGAGUGAUGGCAAGGGGGAAGAAACUGUUCCUGUGUCUGGUGGUUUUGGUGUACAGAGAUCUGUAGCACCCGCCAGAGGGGAGCAGUUGGAACAGAUUAUGUCCAGGGUGUAUGGGGUCUGCAACGAUUUUCCAACACAAACAGGCUCAUAAUGUUAUUAUAAGUGUCUGACUACAUGGAAAGGAUCCGUACCGAGAUAGACCUGUAAUUUUCCUACAGUUGUUGAGGUGAACAGACACAGGUAAAACAAGUAAACAGACACAGGUAAAACAAAUAAAAAGUAAACACUAAACAGACACAGUAGACAAGAGUUAUGCAGGUAAAGCGUAGCGUUGUUAAAGCAGAUCAGUGGCCAGGCAAUCACCCAUCUGAGAUUUACAGUACAUGACGAGACGCAUCCCGUCGCAGGACUUCAUUAUUACAUGUUUGGCCCGUGUGUUUCGUAUUGUUGUCUGUAGAUGAUAUUGACACGGAUAUGCAUUUUACAUUAACUGGUGAUGUUCAUGAUUGUUCGACAAGGUCUUCAACAUCUCGUCGUCACUGCCACAGGCACACAAGUAGGCCUGCUAUUCGUGAAAACUACGAAUCUGCGCACGACAACAUCUGGCGUUCAACACAUGGACUUCGGUCGCUACACAUGCAAAUCUCACAAGACAACAUGGCUACCUGUUAAACUGGAACACCAGUUAUAACGUUCUAUCUCAAUACUGAACCCAUUUUUUUCGUUUUUGUCCAUAGUGAAAUCUCGAUCGGGCUAAACAAAAAUCCCGAAGUUUCCCUAUAAUGUGCUGUGCAUUUGCUGUGGUUUACUCACUCUGUCUUGUUCGUCUGACAGUCAUUAUUGUGUUCCUGCUGUUGUUUAGCAGUACCUUCCAUGUUCAGACUGUGACUCAUGAUAAAUUGUUCCUCUGGUGUUGGUUGCCUUUCUCCUGAACAAAAGAGAUGGUUCGAUAUUCACGAGAUGUAUUCAUUUUCCAAGUUUAGGCGUUAGAUCAAGAAUGCUAUGUUAUCAAUUGAGAAAUAGUCCCUCUUACACAGCGUGCAGAACUAGCUGACAGUGUAGUCAAAAGGGGUUGCCCGAAUAGGUUAAAUAUCCUUAUACUCGGCAGUCACCCGAUUUAGAAGAUGUGAGUGUUCUUGAUUGUUAUUUAACAACCACCAACAAAUAAUUUACGCAAUAAAACGGAAUGGCCUGUCUGAAACCUACCUCUUGGAUGGCAGUAUUGGUCGGUGGGAACAAAAUAAUAGCUAUGCCGUCAGUCCCAAGCCUUCACAAACACAUCCAGUUUCGGUUUGACGACGUGGUCAGGGUCACCGUGGUUACGUUGGUUUUAUAUCAAACAUUGGUAAUUCGACAUUCAAAAACCGUAUUACAGACUUGCGUCUGUCGAUUUUCCAACCAACUUUAGAUCAACUUCCGUGUGAUGAAACCCUCAACUUGCGC